Molecule: long non-coding RNA, 950 nt
Filed under: Equus caballus (horse)
Lineage: Eukaryota; Metazoa; Chordata; Mammalia; Perissodactyla; Equidae
Description: lncRNA (ENSECAG00000051720.1)
Source: RNAcentral
UAAUAUGCUUUGAACAUCAGGAGACCUAAGAGAUGUCCACAGUCCUGCUCAGUCUUCUCAUAAAUUUCUCAUCUUGAAGCGUCUUUCAAAGAUCCUAGCUGUGUAAGUGUAGAUUCUGCAAUCAGAAGAUGCCAGGAUUAUUUGGGUCUCAAAUUCAAGGCAAAUUUACAUUAAGUGGCAGAACCUGCAACUCAAGCUUCAGCGAACGUGAUGGGAAUAAGGAGAGAUUGUUAACAUGUUGGAUUCAUUUGAAGCACUUUUCACUUUAUAAUUUUUCACAUUUUUCUUGCUUAUUGUCUGUCACACUCACGUUGGACUAUGAGCUCUACUGGUGACAGAAAAUACAACUAUUUUUCUUAGUAAUUUAUACGCAGAAAUUAAGUCUAGCACAGAGUUGACACUUAAAAAAAUAUUACUGAAAUGACUGACUGAAGGAUGCGGGGAAAAGUGAAUGCAGAGAAAAAUGAGUGCACCUGGCGAGUAACAGGGAGAGGAAGAAAAGCUGGUGGAAUCCAUCAGCAAAGGUGCAGGUCCCCAUUCUGUGACAAGUCCACCUGAGUAACAAGGUAAUGCCGGGGGACUGGAGGAGCGAGAACUUGGACCUGAGGAACAACUGAUUGGAAGCUCCUUGAAAGCAGAGCCCAUGUAUUACAACUUUGUAUCCUAUCUCAAUUCUUAGCACAUGAAAGAUGGGAUUGCCCCACUAGACGGUAACCCCCGUGAAUCAGGGACAGGUCACCUCUGUAACUUCAGCAUCUGGAGCAAAGCUGCAAAUUGGAAUUCCUAUUUUCUGAAAUUGCCUCCUGACUUUGCCCUAGAACUAUCCUAUUUUGUAAUGGGCCUGCAAUCUGCCUCUGAAUGGAAGUCAUGGAAAGGAUCAAAAAUGACUGACCAGCGUUGGUGGAGUUUGGGUUUUUUUUAAAUAAUAGUAGGUAUUAAUGUAGCACACU